CCUACGGGGGGCAGCAGUAGGGAAUAUUGCUCAAUGGGCGAAACCCUGAAGCAGCAAAGCCGCGUGGAGGAUGAAGGUUUUCGGAUUGUAAACUCCUUUUGUUAGAGAAGAUAAUGACGGUAUCUAACGAAUAAGCACCGGCUAACUCCGUGCCAGCAGCCGCGGUAAUACGGAGGGUGCAAGCGUUACUCGGAACCACUGGGCGUAAAGGGCGCGUAGGCGGGAUAGCAAGUCAGAUGUGAAAUCCUAUGGCUUAACCAUAGAACUGCAGUUGAAACUGUUAUUCUAGAGUAUGGGAGAGGUAGGUGGAAUUCUUGGUGUAGGGGUAAAAUCCGUAGAGAUCAAGAGGAAUACUCAUUGCGAAGGCGACCUGCUAGAACAUAACUGACGCUGAUGCGCGAAAGCGUGGGGAGCAAACAGGAUUAGAUACCCUAGUAGUC
This 440-nucleotide ribosomal RNA is filed under the name uncultured bacterium. RNAcentral describes it as "partial 16S ribosomal RNA". It matches the Rfam family "Bacterial small subunit ribosomal RNA", at positions 338 to 795 of the family's 1533-position model. The record is from RNAcentral.